RNAcentral lists this microRNA (21 nucleotides) under Sarcophilus harrisii (Tasmanian devil). RNAcentral describes it as "Sha-Mir-1549_5p (mature (co-guide))". The record is from RNAcentral. Lineage: Eukaryota; Metazoa; Chordata; Mammalia; Dasyuromorphia; Dasyuridae.
GCCGGGCUCGUGGGUAGGAGC